GGGGGGGGGGGGGGGGGGGGGUGGCGGGUGGGGGGGGAGGGGGGGGGGGGGGGGUGGUGCGGGGGUCAGCGGCGGAGGGGUGAGGAGUGCCUAGGGAUUUGCGUGGGAGUGGGGGAUACCGGCCGGCAAGGGGGGCUAAUCCCGCAUCCGUCCUGGGGGGGAAAGUGGGGGAUCUUCGGAGCUCACGCUAUCAGAUGCGGCUAGGUCGGAUUAUCUAGUUGGUGGGGUAAAGGCCCACCAAGGCUGCGAUCCGUAACUGGUAUGAGAGGAUGAUCAGUCACACUGGAACUGAGACACGGUCCAGACGCCUACGGGAUGCAGCAGUGGGGAAUAUUGGACAAUGGGCGAAAGCCUGAUCCAGCCAUGCCGCGUGUGUGAAGAAGGUCUUCGGAUUGUAAAGCACUUUAAGUUGGGAGGAAGGGCAGUAAGUUAAUACCUUGCUGUUUUGACGUUACCAACAGAAUAAGCACCGGCUAACUUCGUG
Molecule: ribosomal RNA, 484 nt
Filed under: uncultured bacterium
Lineage: Bacteria
Description: partial 16S ribosomal RNA
Rfam family: Bacterial small subunit ribosomal RNA
Source: RNAcentral